UAGGGAAUCUUCCACAAUGGGCGCAAGCCUGAUGGAGCAACACCGCGUGAGUGAAGAAGGGUUUCGGCUCGUAAAGCUCUGUUGUUAAAGAAGAACACGUAUGAGAGUAACUGUUCAUACGUUGACGGUAUUUAACCAGAAAGUCACGGCUAACUUCGUGCCAA
RNAcentral lists this ribosomal RNA (164 nucleotides) under uncultured bacterium. RNAcentral's name for it is "partial 16S ribosomal RNA". It matches the Rfam family "Bacterial small subunit ribosomal RNA", at positions 355 to 511 of the family's 1533-position model. The record is from RNAcentral.